This 680-nucleotide long non-coding RNA is filed under the name Nicotiana benthamiana. Its description in RNAcentral is "long non-coding RNA (NBEN_LNC038779)". The record is from RNAcentral. Lineage: Eukaryota; Viridiplantae; Streptophyta; Magnoliopsida; Solanales; Solanaceae.
UAAAGGCUUAGUACAGAACUUAAUCUAGUAGCUCGUUUACAUAAAUUUUGGAAGCAUCUCCCUUGUAAAAAUGCCCUCUUCCAAUGCCAUAUACUAACAACAAGAAUAAUAGACUAAUAAAAAUAUGUAUGCAUCAUUUUUCAACCUUAUCUCAAUCACAAUAUAUCACAAAACAGCCCACCCACCUUAAUCACUUCAUACAUAAAACGACAACAAAAGUAGCAUCAAACAACCUAAAAAAUUAACGAUGAAUGACAUGACCACCAUUUCGUCAUUAUGUGGUUUUAUCCACACCUUUUAUCCUCCAAUACUCCGUACAACAUCAGCAAAGUAGACAGCCUAAAAGCAACAAGAAACAGCUCACAAAAUAGUCCGCUACAAAUCGAUUAACUCGAACUCAUAGUUUCCGAUCACCGUCUCGUGAGUUCUAACUAUUAGGAAAUAAAUUUAUAAACCUCUUGAUAUUUAAAGCUUAAAUACAAAAAUUAUACGUUUUCUUAACAAUGAAGUACUUUUCAAAACUCAAACUACAAAGAAAAAGAUAGGUGAUAUAGCGAUACUUACAUAGUAGGGGUUGUUCAAGUGUUAUCGCUUCUUGAUUUCGUACCCCAGAUGUUAAUCCUCUUUGAAACCCUUGAAGAGAGCUUAUGUUAAGUUUAGGGGUUUUAUCUGGUUUUUUU